AAGAAGUUCCCCCACUGAGUGGAAAUGGUUAGGCCUUGCUCAGUGGUUGACUGGGGACCCCUCUGAGAAAAGCAUAGGAUGAAAACCUGAAGCUGUCUGAAGAUGCAAACAGCUGGGGACUGUCAGCUAACCACCCUCCCUGGAGCUGAGGAGUGAGUCCUUUCUUGAAGGAGGAUCUGAUUGGCGCAUCUCCACAUCUGCCACAGUUUACCUUGUGUCCCGUGUGGCUCCACUUCAUAGCACAGUUGUGGAGCAGCUCUUCUGGGGUUCUGGUGGGCCUCUCUUCCUGAGGGGAAACUUAAAAGAGGGAAUUUAGAGAGAUGAACUAUAGCCCCCAUGGCUACAGGUGGUCUCAUAACCACAACUGAUACUCAUUGUCUCUCUCCUCCACUAACUGUUCGAAAGUCCCUCACUCUCUGCUGGCCUCAGUGGCUCACAUGGUGGUGUUUCCCAAACCAUCCUUCCUGAGGGGCCUGAAUUCCUGGUAAUCUUACCCGUGUCUAGGCUCCAUUACUACAUCACUACAUUUGUCACAAUUAGGCAAGAGCCUUCCAAGAGGCACCCAAGUGGGUCAACUGAGUUCCAUGGACGUUCCUCCCUGCUCCCAUCAUGUAACAGCAGCUCUGCCUGCUCCUGCUGAUCAAGGUCAAUUACCCCUGACAGAAGUGGUUCCUCUUCUUGCCUCCUGGUUCCUGGCCGCACAGAGCCCGGAGUGUCCAAGUGGAGCUGUAGCUUAUUGUUCAAUGGGAUUUUUGCCAUCCUCUGCCAAAAACACACCCUUUCUGGGGACCAGGACCUCUAACCCUGCAGAAUCCAGAGCUGUGGGGACCCCUAGUGAGUCACUGAAAGUGAUGGUGUCCCUGGAAGGGUAUGACCUUGGAUGAAGCUGAAGCAACUCCCUAAAGGGGCUGAAGGCUGAAUGAAGGUUGUACACUGACAGCACUCUCAGCAGCUGAGGCAACAAGCCCUUCCCUGGGGGAAGAUCUGGACCAUGCCUCGCCAUGUCUCUGCCACAAGGUCAAGCUUCUGUGCACCAGGCUCUGCCCAAGCGUGAUUGCCAGGAAGUCUGUCCCAUGCAGUGCUGCAGACCUGUGUAUUUCUUCAGGGACCUCAGCCAGGUACUACAAUGGAGGCAAAGGUGCUGCUUGAGGAAGAAUUCCGGCUUUGGCUCAGCUAUUCUGCAGUCUACCUUCCCUCAGAGCAGAGAGUUUGGGGCAGGGUUUUCUACUUAUUUAAGAGAAUGUCGUUCAAGCCAUCUACUUGCUUGAUGUGAGAGAUUUAUGUGUUUUCUAACAUAGUCAUCAAUGUAAGGUUCUAACACUCUAUAUUCCAGUUGGAGAAUAACCUUGAAUUGUCAAUUGUUUUACUCCUUUCAAAAGCUAAACAGGAAAUUGACGUUUAGUCAAUUUUGUUUAAGGGACAUGGUAUCCAUCACUUUUGGUGUCUUUUAACAUUGUUCUUUUAUCACAUUUGAUCACUGUAAAUCUACACGUUUAUGUGACGUUAACUUAGUCCUCUCCAGAAUACCCAUUACUGAAUUUAUCUUUUAGAGAGUGUAAAGACUAGAUUUGCUAUAAAACUAUUGAAGUUAUUGACUAAAAUCUCCUACAAUGUCUCCUAUAAAAGGCAUCAAAUAUUGGGUUUAUCUUAUUUUAGGGUUUAGUACUAGGAGAAAAAAUCUCUUCUGAAAAACUGGUUUCCUUAUUCCCCAUUCUAAGAGCAACACAUUGUGUUACUCUUCUUUUUCUCACUGGCAGAAAUAGAAUUAAUAAUCAUUCACAGUUACCCUGUCAGCCUUUGAGGCUAGAAUAUAUGCUUCCUCCUCCUUUUUACGACUUUAGUGUUAUAUUUCUUUUUUUUUUUUUGCAAACAACCGUUGCCAAUGUUUUUUUUUUUUCUUUAAUUGCUCUUUCCCCCCAAAGCCCCCCAGCACUUAGUUGCAUAUUUUAGUGGUGGAUCCUUCUAGUUGUGGCACAUGCGAUGCUGCCUCAACAUGGCCUGAUGAGUGGUGCCAUGUCCGCGCCCAGGAUCCGAACCGGCAAAACCUUGGGCUACUGAAGCGGAGUGCGCGAACUUAACCACUCAGCCAUGGGGCCGGCCCCUGGUAUUAUAUUUCUAUCCCAAUAAAUGUGUUACAUAUGUGUCUAUUAUUGGAAGCUGCUGUAUGGCCUUAAUUUAUUUUUAGAAAAAGUAGGGCUAUGAAUUUAUAUCGCCAUAAACACUUCAAUAAGAAACACUAUGUUCAUUAAAAAAAAUACAACAACAACGACAAAAACCCAACAACAACACACUAUAUCCAGGUAAUGAACAAAUUUUUCUUAAAUCUAAUAAAAAAAAGAGUAAAACUACUCAUUAUUUGUUUAUCUAAAAAUGAAAUUUUUUAUUCAUUAACUCUUGAAUUCAUUCAAGAAUGUGAAAUAUUAGAUAAAUUCGUUGAACCUCUAAAUGCAGUAGUAAACAUUAGGUAUGCCGUACUCCAUGGUGGAGGCUGGCAGCUACAUCCUUUUGGGAGAUCCUAGGUAAGGAUAGGAGAAAGGAAAAGGAGGGAGUAGGGAGGGCAAUGGCUGUCCUACAUCCACUAAACAUGUAUGUGCACCCACUUAAGCCGCCUCGGUGAGUCAGUCCCGACUGUUCCCGGCCUGGCUCAACAAUCAUGUAAACUCUGUGAGGGCUAGGAUUUGCAUCAGGCACAAGUGAGCUCAGGUUUUCUAUUAGAUAUUUGGCAAAUGAAUGAAUAAAUGAAUGAAUGAGUCAGUGUUAGAGCUACCCUAUUAUGAUAGUGGUGAUCCCAUUGUCCUAGAGCCUGAGCUCCUGCUCUUGUCCUCAAGCUUCUCUUGCCAGGAAAUGGUAGACCCAUCUCUGGGGACUCUGGGAAGCUGUUUCCCAGCGAGCCCUUGCCUCAGAAGAUUGUAGAUCUUAGAAAUGGCAUUCAUGUGCUUUCUGCACCCAAACUCCACGCCUGUAAAUACAAAGUUGGUUGUGCUUUAAAAUAUUAUGCUCUUCAGAAUCCCCACAAAUGUCCAUCAGCAUUCAUUUCCCCUAAUUUUUCGUAGUUUAUACAAGACAAUGUAAGAUACCAUUAUCACAUUAUCUUGGGUCCUUUGAAGCUUUGUGAUGAAAUCAACAUUAUCAUACUUUUUUUUUCUUUGUUGAGGAAGAUUCACCCUGAGCUAACAUCCACUGCAAAUCAUCUUCUGUAUGUGAACCACCACCACAGCCUAGUCAUUGACAGACGGUGGUAUAGAUCUGCGCCAGGGAAUUGAACCCCGGCCGCUGAAGCAGAGCAUGCCAAGCUUAACCACUAGGCUCCCCAGGGCUGGCCCUAUCAUACAUUUUUAAAACAUCAUGAAAUUGGGGAAUCACUCUAACGCAAUGGUUCCCAAACUUUAGUGUGUAUCAGGUCUGCCUGGAGGGUUUGUUAAAACUUAGGUUAGUGGGUCCCAUUUUCAGAGUUUCUGAUUCCCCAGGUCUGGGGUAGGGCUCAAGAACUUGCAUUUCUAACAGAUUCCCAGGUGAUGCUGACGCUAGUCCAGGGAUCACACUUUGAGAACCACAACUCUAAACCAACUUUCUUUACCAAACACUCUGCCUCUUGUGACAUUUUGGUUGCUUCUGUUCUGAAUGCUGUUGGCAAAUGUGCAGAAUGGCCUCAGGAGUGUGAGACUGAGUAAUCUGGUGACUGCAACCUGUGUUAUCUACAGCUGGUGGCUGAUUGCAAAAUGGAGCAAUUAAGGAUUAAGACAUAAAUCACAGGAAAUUAACACGAAGCAGCACUGAGCACAAAACCCAUAAAAUUGCUAACAUUCUUCUGUUUUGGUCGUACACGUGCAUCCUGCUUUGCUCUGCUAUUGUACCCAACAUGAUGGGACCACACCCAGAACAAACAAAAGACUGUCUGUCUCUGCCACCAGAGAAUGGUAAGGUCACAGGCAGGCAAGAGAAUGGAAGUAAAUUCAAUGAAAAAAGAUUCUGCUGCUGAUGAUAAAGAAAAAUGACAUUAUACUGAUUUAAUUUUAUAAAUAUCCAUACUCAGUCACGUAACUGUGGCAGAGUAGAAAUUUGAAUUUCUGUGGCCUCCGAAGAGCGGCUUCUUUAUGCCAAAAUAAUUUCUCUCUGAAUGUUUUCUACGAGUUAGAACUUCAUAUGACUAUUUCAUAUGGAUUCAUUAUUGAUAUGGCUUCUCAGAAUAAAAAACCUGAAACGUACCAUAAGAUAGAUAUGAAUUUGAAACGUAGACUGAUGAAGUGGAAAAAGCUGAAAUUUCAUAUUGCCAAUUAAUAAUUCAUUUAACUUCUUAGAAAUUUAUAUUUGGGUUUCUUCUUAUAUAUACUCAUUUUAAAAAUUUAAGGUGAUUAGCACCAAGUAAAAUGAAUUAAUAUAAAGGCUAGAAAAUCUGAUCGGAUUGAUUUGACAAAAAUUAGUUUGAAGGCUUUCUUCCUGUUAUAUCCCUUUUAUAAGGUCACACAGUCACUUUUCAUCUCACAGACUUCCCCAAAUGAUUACUUAUUCCCUGAUGUUUUCUUUGACUAAUCAGAACAAGAUGAUAGUUUCCUUUUUAUUCAUCCUGCUGAUCUCUGAGUGUUAUUUAUCUAAAUGUGUUCCAUCUACUCUUCAUAAUGGUUACAUUGAUGUACAUAAUUUAGGAUGGAAUUGAUUUAAAUAAAAUGUAUUUAAAUUUAAAUUACUACCCAGGAAGAUGGAAGGUAGUAAGUUUGACGGCAGCUCUUAUUUGAUUUAACCAGAAUGUGGUUCUCAACUUGUAAAUAGGUAUAGUUUCAUUUUUAGAAGGCCUAUGCUAUAUGUUUCAAGUGAUGAUUGGUUUUGAUAAUUUCUCAAAUUAUUUUUGCUGUCUAAUCAGGAAAAUGAGGCAUUUGAAACCAAUAGGUGUGAAUUCAUUGAGAGGGUUACACACCUCUGAGUCAAUAGGUUGAUCAUGAUUUUGUUUGGCGUAUUUUGCGAUAUGUUAAUACAUCAAUCAAAACACAAAAAACAAGGUACACAUACGUAAAUGUUUUAUUUGAUUAAAACAAACGUGCUGAAAAUUUUCUAACGACAAACAAAAAUGUUGAAAUUAACCUAACUUGGAGAAUAAAUCUUUCAUCCACCUUGGCCCUUGACUCCUUAGGGACUGGUAUGGCACAGGGAAUUAUGCAAAUUCGUGUUUGCAAUCAUUCCUUUGCAGAAAUUAACACAGGGGACGAGGGAUGUCUUGUUGUAGAAUCUAAUCUUGCUUAAGGAAUGAGAAAAAAAGGCUGCAAUUUCAGAGUUUGGGCCUGGUAAAGUCUACAGGACAAGGAGCCAGGUAAGUUUAGAAGCUUGGAACUAGCUCAACAGAUGCCAGUGUGGCUAAACGGUGACGUGCCACACCAUCUCCACGGGAGAUCUGGGCCUUUGUACUGAUCAUCUUGUGUAGACGUGGCUAUUUUGUUCUCUUAAUAUAUCUUACUAUAGGCAUACUACUUUUGGGAAUUACUGUUUUUCCUUAGAAGCUACCCUCUAUGUGUGUGUCUUUCAUUUAAUACUCACCUCCAGAAUGCUCUGGAAGAAUGAAGGGACACCUCUUCAGGGUACAACGAGAGAAAGGCUGGAGAGGCCCAGAUCUUGGAAUAUUGAAGCUCAUGCUGGGCUUUCCUAGAUAAUCUUGGACAUGUAAUUGCCACACAUUGAUUGGACUUGAGACAUACUUUAAAUUUCCUCAGAAAGACAUUUAUAAAUCAUCUCUCAGGGUGGGUUAAUUUUGCAGAGCUAAUGUUACCUAUAACAACAGCAAACGUUAAAUGCUUGAUAGGUAUGACUCACAACAGGUCCUCACAACGAUCCUAUGAGACUUAUUAUCUUCAUUUUUCAGAGAAACAAGCUGAGGCACAGAAACGCUAAGUAACGUUCCUUAGGCCCCCAGUGGUAAGUCGUAGAGCUGAGACUAGGCCAUUCUCAGUCUGGUUCAAGGGCCUGCACUCUGUGGGGGAUGUGUGUGUGUGUGUGUGUGUUUGUGUGUGUGUGAGUGUGUGUGAAAUAUUUCGAAAAAAGAAAAUCUUGUCAGAGUUGGGGCAAGUUCUGCUCACAGUGGCAGCUGGUCUUAUCCUCGAGGACAAAUGGUUUCUUGGUUCUUUUAAAAAGUAGGCAAACUGUCUUAGGAAGGACAGUGGGCCUUUGCCUGGGCCCUGCUGAUGCAGAUCGUCAGCCAGAGUAUGUUUUGUGUGCCACAUCUCAGGAAAGCCAGAACCUCCCAGAGAAGGACAAUGAAACUGGCAAGGACGUGGAACAGCUUCUCUAUGGGGCAAGAACAGGAAAUUCGAGACACAUCCCUCAUGUCCCCAGCUCCCAACCCCAUCAGAGUCAGUAAAAGACAGAGGUUAGGAGUUGGGAUUUUCUUGGCUAUUCCUCUGACUAGCUAUAUAGACAUGGGCAAGCCUGUGAACAUUGCUGGCCCUGGUCUCCUUAUCUGGAAGAUGGAUUCUGGAAGAAAGCCAAACCAGGGAAUGAUUUCUACAACAAGGCAGCACAGGGCCGCAGUGGGGAACAUUGACACUGGAACCAGGUGGCCUGAGUUUGUACCCCAACUCUAAGCUAUUGUCCAGGCAAGGAUUCAAGCAGAUGGAGGCAAGAGUUGGAGCAAGAGAAGGAGGAGAAAGAGGGAUGUAAAGGCCGGAUGAGUGGGUUAGUACAAGUUGUGUAUAAAUCGGGAACCACUUAGAUUAAUACAUAUGAAGCUUGUUUCUCUUAUGCCAAGACAACACUGUUAAUGAGCUUGGGCAGCCGGAAGUGUCGCUCUGCCAGGUGGGUCCCACCCUCUCCUCUGCUACCACCUGUCUUACUCCUACCUUCCUGCAUUCACUACUCUCCAUUUUCCGUCAACACUGGCCAACACCACUACCUACAUGUCACAAUGUCAAGGGAGGUAUCCAGAUGCCAUUGCAGAAAGUGCCUAUCUCUGCUCAGCCUCCAGAGAGGAGCUUCAUGAGUCCAAGGCAUUGCCAGAGCUGGACUCAUCCUCUUGAAAAUGGUGAGUGAAAUGAGAUCAUUUGUAAGUUGAGAUUUUUAUCAAAAGCCAGUGUUUUAAAGCUCUCUAUGAAACAAACAAAAAUCCCAUGGGGUUUUCCUUAAGGUAUACUCACUUUCACAUGUGUCAUUAUUGACUAAAACUUAUAAUUUAAAUUAUGGCAUACUCCUUAAUUUAAAAUAUGUACUCCUUAAUUUAGAAUACAAUUUUCUUAAAGCUUGAAUUUUAGAAAUGAAAGGGACUUGUGAGACCAUUCAGUUCCAUGUCAUUGUUUUUGAGCUGAGGGACUGAGAGGUGGUGAGGUGAAGGCGCUUAUCCGUGUUCACAGGGCUCAUUAGCAGAGCUGGGUCAUGGGCAGAAUUCUCAGUCAAAAAUUAUUUUCCUUACAUCACAGAAGACUCCUCCUCCAGAGUACUUAUUGUUAUGACAUCUUAAAGGGUUCCAGAAUGUGAGGACAAGUGAAACUAGUAGCAUCAACAGCUCAUGCAGAAUGGGGACUAAAGGAACUGGGCCUAGGGCCAGGGCUGGAAUCCUGUCUUCCCCACCUACUAGCAGUGUGGUCUUGGGCAAAUUAUUCCACCUCUCCGUGAAGUCACAGUUAACCUGAUUGCAAGUGUUUCAAUUGGUUUGUAGAGUGUUCCACUCUGUGUUAGGGACAGAAUUAGUAUCAGAUGCAUGUGAAUCAGGAAUCAUUUAUAUAUUUACGUGUUCAAUAACUGUUAACUAUUAUUUCCGAAAGGCACACUAUGAGUAUCCAGUGCAGUUAUAGGCUCUGGCUUUGCUAAAUGGAGAAUAUUAAGGGAUGUCUGCAUCCUGCAUCCUUUUUAGGUCUUUCCCAGUUUAAAAGUCUUGAGAAACCAGAAUUCUCUUCCUAAGUCCAUCCUGUUCCCACUUCAGCCCAAGCAGACUUUCCCCUCACUCUAGAAUGCUGAGGAUACAGACCCUGGCAGAGCUUGAUCUUAGCCAUAUCCCAGUGCUGAGCCUAGUGCCUGGAAAAAAAAAAGUUUGUGAAAGAGGAAUACAGUGGUAUCUCCAGAAUUUUAAUAUAGAUGUGGUUUAGAGUUGAUUAUCUGGGUGAUUGGCGAUUAGGGAGCUUGAAUUGAAAUUGCAUUUGCUAUAGGAAAUGAUGGUGGUUAAAGGGGUGUGACUAAUGUCCCCUCAUCCUAGCCCUUGAAAUCACCAAUGAAUGCAAAAAGGAAUGAAUGAAUGAAUGAAUGAAUGAAGAGAGUAGCAGAGCUAGUGCUCUUUCAGUAGACACCACUACAAGGAUACAACCUCCAAGCAAUACCAGAGGACAGGAAGAAAUCUCAGAAUGGGACCUGAGAUGGACUAAUCCGAUAUAAACUGGGUAUUGAUAUAUUAUCUCUACCUGUCAACACCCCCAGGCUGGAGAAGUAUGCAUUUCAAUGGUUAUGAAAACGAUGCAUUCCUUGCCCUUGCAGGAAGACAAACAACUUGAACAGGGUCUUUGACCUGUGACUUGUGGCCCACGGUUUAGAAUACAAUGUUCUAGAGGAUAUAUACUUACUGAUGAGAUUCUCACCACUUUUUCAAUUUUCCUCACAGUGGCGUGAGAUUAAUGAGAUAACCAUUUUACAGCUCGAUGUGAAAGACACUAGUAUGUAUAAGCUAUUAUUGUCGUGUUUAUACUCCAG
RNAcentral lists this long non-coding RNA (8655 nucleotides) under Equus caballus (horse). RNAcentral describes it as "lncRNA (ENSECAG00000053496.1)". The record is from RNAcentral. Lineage: Eukaryota; Metazoa; Chordata; Mammalia; Perissodactyla; Equidae.